UACGUAGGGUGCGAGCGUUGUCCGGAAUUAUUGGGCGUAAAGAGCUCGUAGGCGGUUUGUCACGUCGGCUGUGAAAACCCGAGGCUCAACCUCGGGCCUGCAGUCGAUACGGGCAGACUAGAGUUCGGUAGGGGAGACUGGAAUUCCUGGUGUAGCGGUGAAAUGCGCAGAUAUCAGGAGGAACACCGGUGGCGAAGGCGGGUCUCUGGGCCGAAACUGACGCUGAGGAGCGAAAGCGUGGGGAGCGAACAGG
Molecule: ribosomal RNA, 253 nt
Filed under: uncultured bacterium
Lineage: Bacteria
Description: partial 16S ribosomal RNA
Rfam family: Bacterial small subunit ribosomal RNA
Source: RNAcentral